AAGAUGAUCUCUAAAUAUUUUAGCCUUUAUCUUUGAUUUGCUAUAUUAAAAGUAAUAUAUUGCAUGUUCUUUCUAUUACCUAAACCUAUAAAAAUGUAAUAUUAUAAUAUUACAGCAAGUUUCUAUAUUAGUUUCAGUCUCAACAAAACAAACAUUCUUUAUAUAUUCUUUUCAUACUCUCUAUCUCAAACUCCUCACUAACUUUCGCAUAUUUUCAAUUUUAUUACUUCUAUUUUUGUUUUUUUUAGGUUUAUAUAACAACAAAGCCGAUUUGCAGUGCAUUGUUUUAUAUCUUACUUUUUUCUCAUAUAUAAUGGCGAUUGAAUGUAAUUAUCCCUUCAA
This 342-nucleotide long non-coding RNA is filed under the name Phoenix dactylifera (date palm). RNAcentral's name for it is "long non-coding RNA (PDAC_LNC003941)". Lineage: Eukaryota; Viridiplantae; Streptophyta; Magnoliopsida; Arecales; Arecaceae. The record is from RNAcentral.